This 226-nucleotide long non-coding RNA is filed under the name Lathyrus oleraceus (garden pea). RNAcentral describes it as "Pisum sativum (pea) long non-coding RNA (PSAT_LNC038197)". Lineage: Eukaryota; Viridiplantae; Streptophyta; Magnoliopsida; Fabales; Fabaceae. The record is from RNAcentral.
UUCAUCCUAACCGAUGACGAAUAUUCUUCCUUUGAGUUUAUCCUUGAUAUGUUCACUUUAAUUAGGUGACAAAUACUCUCUCUUUGGUCUUCUUCCCAGUAACCGGACGUUAUAAACCCUAUUUGAGUUCUCUCCCCGGUAGGUUAUUCUUACCCAGUAACAGGUAAUGAAUACACCUCUUUCUCCUCAGCGAGCCAUCCUUGAUAUGUUUACUCUAACCGGUAAC